CUCACACCACGCAUUCACCUUCCAUCGGAUUAAAAAGCACUUUUGGCUCGCAACCUCUUCUGCCUGGUCGCUUUCUCUAGGCCUCUACAACGUGAAGUAAGCAUUACGGGGCUCAAGCUUUCGAUGCCGUAACGGACGAACUGCUGAUACAGCUCCUUGCCUUUGAAAUGGAAGCACAGUAAGCGUGUGCCAACACGCAUACAUAUGAGGCGAGAGCUGGAGCCAUGGUUUUGCUCACCUUUCUACUCUAGCAGUUCAGAUAAUUCUUCGGUACACCAGGACCUGCGAAUACGUGCUUCUUCCCAGCGGUGCACCUUCUGCUGUUGAUAUUUAUGGAGGUGUCUGCUGGUCAGAAAGCAGUGGCUCUGUGUUGAAGGUGUCCUGGUCAGUAUUAUGUUCUGCUUCCUGUCAGCACUGCUAAUAGAGAAGACAGAUGGAGUCAUCAUGAAGUUGAAGCCGGGAGAGGCCCAUGUGUAUGCUACCAUCAUCCAUCACACAACAGAUGACGUGCAAGCUUCUGCAUCAUUCUGUGUUUUGACCGAAGGGUUCAUGGUCGGGCAUCCAGCAUGCUACCUUCUUUACCGUUAACGUUGUGUACAGUCCUAGAGCUUAACUAAUUAACUGUUACGUUAAGGUGGAAUCACAGAAAUUUGGAGCAUAUACAGAUUGACUCUGUGCACAAAUUCCAUAAUGUACAUUGAUUAAGUACUACUAGGUGCCAUAACUAGUUCCUGUGCUUCAUUGAUUUUCAUGUAACCCUCCAUUGUCGACGGGGUUGCUUUGGAAAGCCCACCCUUAUUCUGUUUUUGCGUGCUACAGCUGAGUGACAAUCGCCUGUGAGAUUGCAAGGACACAGCACAUGUUCUUGUUAUCAGGGGGGCAAACUGGGAAUUAAUCAGGAAUAGCAGUAAAAUGUUACUCGAAUGUAUGAAACAGGAUACGAAAACAUUUUCAAGACAGCGCGUAAGUGUUACUAGCAGACUUCUUAGACAGUAACAAUGGCAGCAUCAACGGAAAAUAUGCAAGUGUUACUUGAAUUCUGUGGCAGCAUCACCAGCCUGCACAUCAGUAAGAUGUUCGUGCUGUUGCCAGAAACCUUUUUGCAUUCUAUUUUGUGCAUUUUUUAGGCAACUUUUCAUAUCGAAUCACAUCCGAAUUGUUCUCUCAGGUUCUCUCAGUUCGGAAAUCCACAGGUACCAUUUCCGUAUCUGCAGUAUAGGAAAUAUCAGGCUGGUGGGUUUUUGAAGGCACCACCGUGUCGAUGACAUUUGGUCUCACCGCAAAUGAACAAAGAACAAGACCAAAAACAUUCAUGCUGGCCAAAAAUUAAAUAAUUCAGCUGUUCAAUCUAACUGGAUGAAACUGGUUUCAAGAAGUAUAGGACAGUCAAUAGCCACUACGCUCAGCAAGUGCUAGUUCUUAAUCGAUAUGGAUCAUCAGAUGUGUGCAGGGCUGUGAACAACAUCAAAGUUGAGCAGGCCGUUAAGGUGUUUCAA
Molecule: long non-coding RNA, 1496 nt
Organism: Ornithodoros turicata
Lineage: Eukaryota; Metazoa; Arthropoda; Arachnida; Ixodida; Argasidae
Exons: 4
Source: RefSeq, a predicted model, not a curated record